RNAcentral lists this ribosomal RNA (547 nucleotides) under uncultured bacterium. RNAcentral describes it as "bacterial SSU rRNA". It matches the Rfam family "Bacterial small subunit ribosomal RNA", at positions 355 to 896 of the family's 1533-position model. The record is from RNAcentral.
UGGGGAAUAUUGCGCAAUGGGGGGAACCCUGACGCAGCCACGCCGCGUGAAUGAAGAAGGCCUUAGGGUUGUAAAGUUCUUUCGGUAUUGAGGAAGGUUGAUGUGUUAAUAGCACAUCAAAUUGACGUUAAAUACAGAAGAAGCACCGGCUAACUCCGUGCCAGCAGCCGCGGUAAUACGGAGGGUGCGAGCGUUAAUCGGAAUAACUGGGCGUAAAGGGCACGCAGGCGGUUAUUUAAGUGAGGUGUGAAAGCCCCGGGCUUAACCUGGGAAUUGCAUUUCAGACUGGGUAACUAGAGUACUUUAGGGAGGGGUAGAAUUCCACGUGUAGCGGUGAAAUGCGUAGAGAUGUGGAGGAAUACCGAAGGCGAAGGCAGCCCCUUGGGAAUGUACUGACGCUCAUGUGCGAAAGCGUGGGGAGCAAACAGGAUUAGAUACCCUGGUAGUCCACGCUGUAAACGCUGUCGAUUUGGGGGUUGGGGUUUAACUCUGGCGCCCGUAGCUAACGUGAUAAAUCGACCGCCUGGGGAGUACGGCCGCAAGNUUA